Molecule: small nucleolar RNA, 132 nt
Organism: Heterocephalus glaber (naked mole-rat)
Lineage: Eukaryota; Metazoa; Chordata; Mammalia; Rodentia; Bathyergidae
Source: Ensembl
UGUGUCUGUUUUUGUCUGCCUUUGUCUGCCUUGAGGACUAAGACUUAUGAACAGGUGCAGAAAAUAAAUCCUCUUUUGCAACCCAGAACUCAUUGUUCAGUGUGAGAUUUGAUACAUAGAAGAAGGAACAUU